Molecule: ribosomal RNA, 468 nt
Filed under: uncultured bacterium
Lineage: Bacteria
Description: partial 16S ribosomal RNA
Rfam family: Bacterial small subunit ribosomal RNA
Source: RNAcentral
GACGAACGCUGGCGGCGUGCUUAACACAUGCAAGUCGAACGGAAAGGCCCUGCUUUUGUGGGGUGCUCGGGUGGCGAACGGGUGAGUAACACGUGAGUAACCUGCCCUUGACUUUGGGAUAACUUCAGGAAACUGGGGCUAAUACCGGAUAGGAGCUCCUGCUGCAUGGUGGGGGUUGGAAAGUUUCGGCGGUUGGGGAUGGACUCUCGGCUUAUCAGCUUGUUGGUGGGGUAGUGGCUUACCAAGGCUUUGACGGGUAGCCGGCCUGAGAGGGUGACCGGCCACAUUGGGACUGAGAUACGGCCCAGACUCCUACGGGAGGCAGCAGUGGGGAAUAUUGCACAAUGGGCGGAAGCCUGAUGCAGCAACGCCGCGUGCGGGAUGACGGCCUUCGGGUUGUAAACCGCUUUCGCCUGUGACGAAGCGUGAGUGACGGUAAUGGGUAAAGAAGCACCGGCUAACUACGUG